Molecule: long non-coding RNA, 246 nt
Organism: Sinocyclocheilus grahami
Lineage: Eukaryota; Metazoa; Chordata; Actinopteri; Cypriniformes; Cyprinidae
Exons: 3
Source: RefSeq, a predicted model, not a curated record
AAUAGUUUUAUUACCUGGGGUCCCACUUUUUCUUAAGUGGCCUUAACUGCUAUGUACUUACGUCAAAAAAUAAGUACAAUGUACUUAUUGUGUUCAUAUAAUAUUGCAAAACACUUUUAUUGCUUUUGAGGUGGGAUACUGGUAAGGUUAGGGACAGGUUUGGUGGUAUGGGUAAGUUUAAGUGUGGGUUAAACUGUAAGGGAUUGGUCAACAGUGUAGCUAUAAAUGUAAUUACAGAAAUUAAUU